Molecule: ribosomal RNA, 250 nt
Filed under: uncultured soil bacterium
Lineage: Bacteria
Description: partial 16S ribosomal RNA
Rfam family: Bacterial small subunit ribosomal RNA
Source: RNAcentral
AGAGUGAACGCUGGCGGUAGGCCUAACACAUGCAAGUCGAACGGCAGCACAGUAGGAGCUUGCUCUUACGGGUGGCGAGUGGCGGACGGGUGAGGAAUACAUCGGAAUCUACCUUUUGGUGGGGGAUAACGUAGGGAAACUUACGCUAAUACCGCAUACGCCCGUUCGGGGGAAAGCCGGGGACCAGCAAUGGCCUGGCGCUGAUAGAUGAGCCGAUGGUCGGAUUAGCUAGUUGGUGAGGUAAUGGCUC